RNAcentral lists this ribosomal RNA (253 nucleotides) under uncultured bacterium. RNAcentral's name for it is "partial 16S ribosomal RNA". It matches the Rfam family "Bacterial small subunit ribosomal RNA", at positions 524 to 776 of the family's 1533-position model. The record is from RNAcentral.
UACGUAGGGGGCUAGCGUUGUCCGGAUUUAUUGGGUUUAAAGGGUGCGUAGGCGGCCCUGUAAGUCAGUGCUGAAAUAUCCCGGCUUAACCGGGAGGGUGGCAUUGAUACUGCGGGGCUAGAGUACAGAUGAGGUAGGCGGAAUUGACGGUGUAGCGGUGAAAUGCUUAGAUAUCGUCAAGAACACCUAUAGCGAAGGCAGCUUACUAGGCUGUAACUGACGCUGAGGCACGAAAGUGUGGGGAUCAAACAGG